GAAACAUUCUGUGAACAGAGAUAACUACGUUAUAAAACAGAAAGUUUUAUAGGAGAGGGUAAAUAAAAUGCUGCCAGGUUUCAGAGGAGGGAGGAGUAAUUUCCUGCUAGGUAUCAAAGAAGGCUCUCUGGUGGAUGUGGCAUUAGCUCUACAAAUCUGUAAUAUAGCAUCUUGAGAAUCCAGGUUCUGCAGCACCCCCAGCACCACCUUUUCCCUCCUCCAUAAUGUGGUCCUUUCUUCUCCUCCUCUUUCUCCUACCCAGUAUCACCCAUCUUUUUUGUCAAACUGAGAUCUUGUAUUUUGGGGGGAGCUCCUCUGAGAAAAACACAAGAUUUUCUACAUAGAGGUAGGUUCAUGUGGUUCGAAAUAUUAUUAGAAAUCACACCUAUCCAUCUGGAAGUGUGUGGUUAUAGACACAGAAGAAUCUCAGAGAACAGUAGGCUGGUAGUGGGCUGGUACCUUGGAGGACCAACCAUGGAUAAAGGCCUAAAAGAUCCUCUUGGCAGCAAGAAGAAAAAGAAAUCAAAGAGCCAGGCUUGCUGAUAUGGACAUGCCAUCAGUGAUAGCUGGUUCUUGCAAGAGUUGGGGAUGAAGCCUGGGGAAGUUGCCCUUAACCCCAGGGGUGAGAUUGUGGAUGUCUGCUGGGAUUACCAUAGUACACUGCAUAUCACCUUCCUUGUAUGUGUUCCUGGCACUUCUCUGUGGCAUGGUUCCUCUCAUCCACCUUUUCCUUCUGAGAUACCUCAUCCUGCAGCUGGAAGGAGUUUCUUAGGACAACCUGAAGACACAGCAAGUGGUUCAGAGAUGUUCCACAAGGGGACCCAGGUUCCCAGGGAAGAGAAGGGGGGAAGACACAACUCCCAGAAGGCGAUGGAUAGGGAAAUGCAGGGCCACGAGAAAAUUAACAGAAGAGAGGCCACAUUCCCUCUUCCCAGGCUGGCCCAGUGUGAUUUCCUGACUCACCUGCCCUCUGGCUUCCCUACCAAUUGGUCUAGUUGGAGGCAGUGUUGGAAGAUCAGAGGGUGAGAAGAUGGGAGAAUGGAAAGCACAUCACUCUGUCCCUGGACGUCUCCAGCACUCAUAGUGUCUCCUUCUUGCUCUGGUUCCAGGGGGUGCUCUUCCCUGGGCAACUCCUUCUGGGGGCACCCCUCGGUCUAGAAGGCCUUCUCCACUUUCUGUCACAUGUGUUACUAAUUGCCAUAUUAAACAUCAUCCUUCUGAGAUGUGUAGCGUGAGUUCUGCUUUUUUGACUAGAUCUUGAAUCUC
This 1266-nucleotide long non-coding RNA is filed under the name Vulpes vulpes (red fox). Its description in RNAcentral is "lncRNA (ENSVVUG00000028359.1)". The record is from RNAcentral. Lineage: Eukaryota; Metazoa; Chordata; Mammalia; Carnivora; Canidae.